This is a long non-coding RNA of Musca vetustissima, 341 nucleotides long. RefSeq lists it as uncharacterized. The transcript has 2 exons. Lineage: Eukaryota; Metazoa; Arthropoda; Insecta; Diptera; Muscidae. The record is from RefSeq and is a predicted model, not a curated record.
GAAGAAUUUUAAAAGAAUAUAUAAAAUUGUUAUUGCUGCAAUAAGUGACUAUUCCCCCAAUAGCGAAAAAGAAUUUCGAGCAGCACUCCAAGUCGUAAAAAAAAGGCACUUCCGAGUUGUUUGUUCCCAAAACAAAAACAAAAAUUAAUUAUAUAAUUUGUUAAUUACAUGUAAUUUUUAAUUUUUUUAAUGACAGUGAAUUGGAAUAUUACUUAAGUUUUUUUAAUGAAUUUAUUAUUACUUAUAUUAUUUAUCUCACUAAAGACUAUCAAUGUACCUGCAGAAUGAAAUAUUUAUUUUUAUGUUUUAUAGAAUAAAACACUAAUACUUAUAGUACAUUA